UAUGGAUUUUGGAGACAUAAU
RNAcentral lists this non-coding RNA (21 nucleotides) under Caenorhabditis elegans. The record is from RNAcentral. Lineage: Eukaryota; Metazoa; Nematoda; Chromadorea; Rhabditida; Rhabditidae.